AUUAGAUGAGCCUAUAUUAGAUUAGCUAGUUGGUGGAGUAAUAGCCUACCAAGGCAAUGAUCUAUAGCUGAUCUGAGAGGAUGAUCAGCCACACUGGAACUGAGAUACGGUCCAGACUCCUACGGGAGGCAGCAGUGGGGAAUAUUGGACAAUGGGCGAAAGCCUGAUCCAGCCAUGCCGCAUGAGUGAAGAAGGCCUUUGGGUUGUAAAGCUCUUUUAGUGAGGAAGAUAAUGACGGUACUCACAGAAGAAGUCCUGGCUAACUCCGUGCCAGCAGCCGCGGUAAUACGGAGAGGGCUAGCGUUAUUCGGAAUUAUUGGGCGUAAAGGGCGCGUAGGCUGAUUAAUAAGUUAAAAGUGAAAUCCCGAGGCUUAACCUUGGAAUUGCUUUUAAAACUAUUAAUCUAGAGAUUGAAAGAGGAUAGAGGAAUUCCUGAUGUAGAGGUAAAAUUCGUAAAUAUUAGGAGGAACACCAGUGGCGAAGGCGUCUAUCUGGUUCAAAUCUGACGCUGAAGCGCGAAGGCGUGGGGAGCAAACAGGAUUAGAUACCCUGGUAGUCCACGCUAUAAACGAUGAAUGUUAAAUAUGGGAAG
RNAcentral lists this ribosomal RNA (592 nucleotides) under Wolbachia endosymbiont of Bemisia tabaci. Its description in RNAcentral is "bacterial SSU rRNA". It matches the Rfam family "Bacterial small subunit ribosomal RNA", at positions 220 to 829 of the family's 1533-position model. Lineage: Bacteria; Pseudomonadati; Pseudomonadota; Alphaproteobacteria; Rickettsiales; Anaplasmataceae. The record is from RNAcentral.